AAAAGUUAAGAACCUUCUACUUUCGUUAGUGGGAAUAUCUACAGAAGUUACGACGGAAACAAAGAAAUAUUCGACAAAAUCAUACAACUUAGAGGACCAUAAGCAAUCACAGUCCGCCCACAACAUAUUAUUUCAUAACUUAUUUAGCGUUCACAACCAAAGGAUGAUUAAAGGACAUAAGAAUGUUAAUUUUCCUCAACGAAGUCAAUG
RNAcentral lists this long non-coding RNA (210 nucleotides) under Carica papaya (papaya). Its description in RNAcentral is "long non-coding RNA (CPAP_LNC013728)". Lineage: Eukaryota; Viridiplantae; Streptophyta; Magnoliopsida; Brassicales; Caricaceae. The record is from RNAcentral.